GACUGGUUAGCUCACUUGGUUAGAGUGUGAUGCUAACAACACCAAGGUCAAGGGUUCGAUCCCUGUACAGGCCA
Molecule: transfer RNA, 74 nt
Filed under: Mus musculus (house mouse)
Lineage: Eukaryota; Metazoa; Chordata; Mammalia; Rodentia; Muridae
Rfam family: tRNA
About the family: Transfer RNA (tRNA) molecules are approximately 80 nucleotides in length. Their secondary structure includes four short double-helical elements and three loops (D, anti-codon, and T loops).
Source: Rfam by way of RNAcentral